RNAcentral lists this ribosomal RNA (305 nucleotides) under uncultured bacterium. RNAcentral describes it as "partial 16S ribosomal RNA". It matches the Rfam family "Bacterial small subunit ribosomal RNA", at positions 505 to 807 of the family's 1533-position model. The record is from RNAcentral.
ACAGCAGUAGCCACGGUAAUACGUAGGGUGCAAGCGUUAAUCGGAAUUAUUGGGCGUAAAGGGCUCGCAGGCGGUUUCUUAAGUCUGAUGUGAAAGCCCCCGGCUCAACCGGGGAGGGUCAUUGGAAACUGGAAACCUUGAGUGCAGAAGAGGAGAGUGGAAUUCCACGUGUAGCGGUGAAAUGCGUAGAGAUGUGGAGCAACACCAGUGGCGAAGGCGACUCUCUGGUCUGUAACUGACGCUGAGGAGCGAAAGCGUGGGGAGCGAACAGGAUUAGAUACCCGAGUAGUCCCUGUCUCUUAUAC